Folsomia candida is the source of this 650-nucleotide long non-coding RNA. RefSeq lists it as uncharacterized. The transcript is spliced from 2 exons. Lineage: Eukaryota; Metazoa; Arthropoda; Collembola; Entomobryomorpha; Isotomidae. The record is from RefSeq and is a predicted model, not a curated record.
UUAUCCGAAACCAGGCACUACAUAUGUAUAGACUCAUCCUCAGGCAAAGCAAAGAUCAAAAUGUGCUUCGUUUCGCCAUGUUUUGUGAUCUGUCCAAUGUGCUUCAUAUAUUAUAUUAUUCAACAUAUGUACGACAUACUUACAUGCAUACACAUACUUUUUUUGCAUUUUUUGUCAGAGAGAGACUCCUCAGCACUCAGCAGAGAGUUAUGCCUACGGAUGAACCAUUUAAUUAUCACGAUCUUUAUGCCAUCCAUUCAGGAUGCAUCGCGCACAGCUUAUGCAACAGACCCGUGACAUGAUGUUCCGUCCAUAUCUAGUUAGCAUAACCAAGUUAAGCAUCCUGACAUUGACAUUGCAUUCUCCACAAGAAAAAAACCGGAGGCAAUUAUUGAGUGAAAUGCGGUGCUCAUAUUUGCUACUGAAAGAAAAUAGAAAUUGAUAAAUCAGCAAUAUACAUUAAAAUGCAUAUGCACCUUAUUUUGACAGUUUAAGUAUAUAAAUAUUUUAUUUUUAACAAUGAAAAGUCUAGGGAAAUUUUGUUUUAGCAUCAUACACGUGAUUAACAGUUUAAAACAUAAAUUUGUUGUGACUUGAAAAAUGGUGGAGUUGAUGAACCUUACUAAAUAAAAUGGCUAAUAUUUCCUAUA